This 267-nucleotide long non-coding RNA is filed under the name Gossypium barbadense (sea-island cotton). RNAcentral describes it as "long non-coding RNA (GBAR_LNC003101)". The record is from RNAcentral. Lineage: Eukaryota; Viridiplantae; Streptophyta; Magnoliopsida; Malvales; Malvaceae.
AACUUUUUCCCAAGGGAGAAGCUGGGAGCAGCAGUAAGAAAGGGAAAGGCACGGUUUCAGAGUAGUUUCGUUUGGUUUUUUUUGGUGAGAUUUUUACGCCCUUUUUAUUUUUUCCUUUUUCCCUUAUUGUUCUAUCAAAUGGUGAAACUGGCAACGAUGGUAGGAGAUGGAAGUUUAACUGUUGCUGCAUGCAGAUAGCAUACAUGCUAAUAAUGUUUGUAUUCCUUGCGGUGUGGUUCGACUGAUAUGGAAAGAAAUGGAUAGUAG